This 414-nucleotide ribosomal RNA is filed under the name uncultured bacterium. Its description in RNAcentral is "bacterial SSU rRNA". It matches the Rfam family "Bacterial small subunit ribosomal RNA", at positions 945 to 1359 of the family's 1533-position model. The record is from RNAcentral.
UUUAAUUCGAUGAUACGCGAGGAACCUUACCUAGGCUAGAAUGCGCGUGACCGGGUCAGAGAUGGCCCUUUCCUUCGGGACACAAAGCAAGGUGCUGCAUGGCCGUCGUCAGCUCGUGCCGUGAGGUGUUGGGUUAAGUCCCGCAACGAGCGCAACCCCUACAGUUAGUUGCCAGCGGGUCAAGCCGGGGACUCUAGCUGGACUGCCUGCGCAAGCAGUGAGGAAGGCGGGGACGACGUCAGGUCAUCAUGGCCCUUACGCCUAGGGCGACACACGUGCUACAAUGGCCGGUACAGCGGGUAGCUACCAGGCGACUGGAUGCCAAUCUCGAAAAGCCGGUCUCAGUUCGGAUUGGAGUCUGCAACUCGACUCCAUGAAGCUGGAAUCACUAGUAAUCGCGCAUCAGCCAUGGCG